This 779-nucleotide ribosomal RNA is filed under the name uncultured Staphylococcus sp. RNAcentral's name for it is "bacterial SSU rRNA". It matches the Rfam family "Bacterial small subunit ribosomal RNA", at positions 62 to 823 of the family's 1533-position model. Lineage: Bacteria; Bacillati; Bacillota; Bacilli; Caryophanales; Staphylococcaceae. The record is from RNAcentral.
UCGAGCGAACGGACGAGAAGCUUGCUUCUCUGAUGUUAGCGGCGGACGGGUGAGUAACACGUGGAUAACCUACCUAUAAGACUGGGAUAACUUCGGGAAACCGGAGCUAAUACCGGAUAAUAUUUUGAACCGCAUGGUUCAAAAGUGAAAGACGGUCUUGCUGUCACUUAUAGAUGGAUCCGCGCUGCAUUAGCUAGUUGGUAAGGUAACGGCUUACCAAGGCAACGAUGCAUAGCCGACCUGAGAGGGUGAUCGGCCACACUGGAACUGAGACACGGUCCAGACUCCUACGGGAGGCAGCAGUAGGGAAUCUUCCGCAAUGGGCGAAAGCCUGACGGAGCAACGCCGCGUGAGUGAUGAAGGUCUUCGGAUCGUAAAACUCUGUUAUUAGGGAAGAACAUAUGUGUAAGUAACUGUGCACAUCUUGACGGUACCUAAUCAGAAAGCCACGGCUAACUACGUGCCAGCAGCCGCGGUAAUACGUAGGUGGCAAGCGUUAUCCGGAAUUAUUGGGCGUAAAGCGCGCGUAGGCGGUUUUUUAAGUCUGAUGUGAAAGCCCACGGCUCAACCGUGGAGGGUCAUUGGAAACUGGAAAACUUGAGUGCAGAAGAGGAAAGUGGAAUUCCAUGUGUAGCGGUGAAAUGCGCAGAGAUAUGGAGGAACACCAGUGGCGAAGGCGACUUUCUGGUCUGUAACUGACGCUGAUGUGCGAAAGCGUGGGGAUCAAACAGGAUUAGAUACCCUGGUAGUCCACGCCGUAAACGAUGAGUGCUAAGUGU